Molecule: ribosomal RNA, 253 nt
Filed under: uncultured bacterium
Lineage: Bacteria
Description: partial 16S ribosomal RNA
Rfam family: Bacterial small subunit ribosomal RNA
Source: RNAcentral
UACGGAGGGUGCAAGCAUUGAUCGGAAUUACUGGGCGUAAAGGGCGCGUAGGCGGUAGAAUAAGUCGGAUGUGAAAUACCGGGGCUCAACCCCGGUGCUGCAUUUGAAACUAUUCAACUAGAGUUCAGUUGGGGUAAACAGAAUUCCACGUGUAGCGGUGAAAUGCGUAGAUAUGUGGAAGAAUACCGGUGGUGAAGACGGUUUACUGGACUGAUACUGACGCCGAGGCGCGAAAGCAUGGGGAGCAAACAGG